CAGUCGCCGCGGGAAUACGUAGGGCGCAAGCGUUAUCCGGAAUUAUUGGGCGUAAAGAGCUCGUAGGCGGUUUGUCGCGUCUGCCGUGAAAGUCCGGGGCUCAACCCCGGAUCUGCAGUGGGUACGGGCAGACUAGAGUGAUGUAGGGGAGACUGGAAUUCCUGGUGUAGCGGUGAAAUGCGCAGAUAUCAGGAGGAACACCGAUGGCGAAGGCAGGUCUCUGGGCAUUAACUGACGCUGAGGAGCGAAAGCAUGGGGAGCGAACAGGAUUAGAUACCCGCGUAGUCCCUGUCUCUUAACA
RNAcentral lists this ribosomal RNA (301 nucleotides) under uncultured bacterium. RNAcentral's name for it is "partial 16S ribosomal RNA". It matches the Rfam family "Bacterial small subunit ribosomal RNA", at positions 509 to 808 of the family's 1533-position model. The record is from RNAcentral.